UCUGAACAUAACCAGGCAGGAGUUCCGUGACACGUGGCACAAGAUGUGAGGAUGGGUCACUGCUUCUUGCUGUUUGGUCACUGACAAGGCCAGCUUCCAGCACGUGGACUGCUUCUGCCAGCUCAUCCAAGGCACUGAAGGCAGGGACUCAUUCCUGACAUAAGUUCAAUUCGAUUUGAUUGGAUACACUUGGGGAAAAUAAGAAACAAGGAAAAAAAGACCUCAGUCACAAUAUCCUGUACACUGUACUUUGAAAUCAGUGCCAAGGCCCUGCCUCUCAAUAUCAGCAAAUACUUCCAUAACUUCAUUAGAGUAACUAGACAACAAAUUUCUACAGAAAAAAAAAAGCCAAAGGAAAAACAAUCAAAUGAUGGAGACAUCUUGCCAUCAAUUGC
This 395-nucleotide long non-coding RNA is filed under the name Homo sapiens (human). Its description in RNAcentral is "non-protein coding lnc-CMPK2-33:1". Lineage: Eukaryota; Metazoa; Chordata; Mammalia; Primates; Hominidae. The record is from RNAcentral.